This is a non-coding RNA of Meleagris gallopavo (turkey), 5552 nucleotides long. The record is from RefSeq and is a predicted model, not a curated record. NCBI's taxonomy places the organism in Eukaryota, Metazoa, Chordata, Aves, Galliformes, Phasianidae.
UGGAAGCAAAUAGAUUUUAUUAAAUGUGAAGUGAUACCUAAAUGUACUCAGAUGAAUGCUAGUGGUGUACUCCAGUAUGGACUGUUGCUUAAUGAAAUCUUGGUGUUAACAGCUGUCUCAGACAAGUAUCAUAUGUUUUCAGCAUACAGGGCUACUGUAAUCAUUCUUCCAGAAAACAAGAAGGAAGAUUGCAUCAUUCUUCAGCCAUGGCUGUCAUUUAAUGAUUACACAUUUUUGAUUUUUAUUUUUCUGAUUCUACUUUUUGCAAAAGUUGCUCAGAUUUCACAUCAGUUUAUUCAAUUUCAAUAACUAUAGGAGAAAAAUAAAUCCCUUAAUCUACAGAAAUCUGAAAUUAUUUUUUCAAAGAAUUCUUGAACUAAAUUCAAAAGGAGUUUGUCAAUUUAUUGAAUCUUGUGUGUGUUGUGCAGGGUGUGUGACUUGCCUCCAGAUGGUGCUCUCACAUUGACAUUUAAGAGUUCUGUUAGCGUUAUUACAGUUUUCAUUAUUCUCUCAAAAUCAGCAUUAGUCCUCUCAAAUUAGCAAGAAAAUAAUUUAGUAGAAUGCAUACCAAUGUAUCAUAUGUUCAUUACAGAUAACUGAUAUUCCCUACAUCGUAUUAGGAAACUACUUUUAGUUCUAGGAAAAGGUUUUACUGAAACUGUGUAAUAUUUUAAUACAAAGGUGGAAAUUCUGUGAACCUUUAAACCAUGUAAUGAGCAUUAUUUAAACAGUAUCUUCAUGGUUGAGUAAUAUCAGUUCCAGUGAGGUAAUAAGCCAGCAUUACAAACUAAAGUACAAGACAAAAGUACUAAUUAUUUUCCACAAAAUCUUGAAAAUUGUGCUGCAACUUUGUGUGAAAGGCCUUCACUUGAGAAGCCCUUUUUCUCGUGGGGAAGAUCAUCACAGAAAUACCAGACAUCCCAUUCUUGCUCUCGUGCUGGAAUUGUCUUCAUGAUUUCCACUACUACUGGGUAUGCAAAUAUGAUCUGUGAGUGUUGCAAAUUAGUUCAGGACCCAGGGGUCAUACCUCUGGCAUUUUAGAGUGAAGCCAAUACUUUUUUUCCAGUGAGUUCCAGUGUUGAUUGCAUGGUUUGUGUGGGUCUGUAUCAGCAUAUUUCUACUCAGCAUUCUCCUUCACACUGGUACAAAUAUCAUGGCAGAAGAUAGAGCUGAUACAUGCAUCAGUGAUUUCGGACAAUCAACAUUAUCUUUGUGCAGGAAGCAAGUUUUUAUAUAAUUUGUAAAUGCUGUAAAUUCUUUUUUUGUGUUCAUUUUCAACCAGCAUCUCAUUUUACUCUUGCAUUUUUCUUCCCAGACAUCUCUAAAUGAGGUAGAGUUCACCAGUAAGAGGCUCUCUUGGUCGUAAUAUUCUUUUCCUGUUUCUUCUGCCACAGGCAGCUGUGACACACAGGAAUAUUUCGAUUAAGAAGAAAGCAAAGGAAGGUUCCAGAGACCAGGUAUCCACGAUGAAAUUCAUCUGUCAGUGAAACCAGUUUGCAGUGUGUGCAAAACAACACGCUAACAAGGACAUUGCACUUUAUCUCGAAACCACCAUCAAGAAUGGUUCAGAAACUGCAAGCAAAGUGGAUCUAUAAGCAAGAAAGCAUUCUGGAUGAAGCUCCAAGGUAUAGUAAAUGUGCCUGAAGAACUAGAGGAGUAUAGUGUCUAUGACAAUCAGCUUGCAGCACUUAUUAUAAGGAAGUAUGUAAGAAACUGUGAAAUUUAAACAGAAAAUCACAACUUGUAAAUGAUGUAACAUCCUGGAGAAACUGAAUACAACAGCUCAGGAAAGGAUGCCAACGUACAUGGCAAGUUUCCUCUAGAAACUGGGGUAAAUGAGGGUAUGUGGGUUGGUAGUCUUGACUUCUGAAGAUACUGAGAACUGCAGUAUACAAGGCUAGCUAAUAGUGUAUUAGGGUGCUAACAAAAAGGGUUAUUGCAACUAGGAUAAGAAGAGCAGUCCUUGUGAAAUUAAGUCCUGAUAUAGGAUGAAUUCUUGCAAAACUGAAAACUCAAAUAUAUUUGUUGAAGAAUUAGAACAUGGCUCUGGGCAUAAAUUAUGAGCAGAACUGGCCUGCUAAGGUCCUGCUAAGGUAAAAACAACCAGCAGUUGCACCUUUGACUGGAGGGAAACAAAGAAUGCUUAUGAAGAAAUACUGUAAUAUCUGGGACAAAAAGCAUAACUCUGAGCUGUCCCAGAAGAUUAACAAAAGGAUGGGUGAAAAUAUAUGUUGGGUAUAGCAUGUGAAAGCUAAUCUAAAACUGAAAUUCAACUGUUUCUUAGUCUGAAACAGCUGAAGCCUUGUAACAAAAACUUUGUUAACUCUUUAGUGUUAUAGUAGGGCUAAAAAUAAAUUCUUUCCUACUGAGAAGAUGAUCGCGUAGGUAUAAGUAAGGGAAGAGCACCUUUUCAGCUUACAUCUUUGCAGAGCUUCUGGACACAUGAAAAUUGGAAAUAUAUUUUCAUAAAUAUUCCAUAAAGUUGGAAAAUAGUAAAAAAUUCUAGAAAGGAGCUAAUCUAUAGGAAUGAAACCAUGGAAUCUGUUUCAGAAUUCUAUAUCGAAGGUGUACAUUGGUGUGGACCUCGGAGUCCCUGUUCUCUGGACUCAUAGGCCUCAAAGAGCCUCAUAGAUGUGACUCUAAGGAACACACUUGUCUCUUGCUAGUGGCCUCAUUUCAUUCCCCUGCAAACCCAGGCAUGAGAGAAGAAAGAAGAAAUGAUGUCACACCUUGAUCAGGUGUAGAAUCAGGAUAGAGCUAGAGCUCACAUCUGUAUUGUGAGCCCAAACGUGAUCCCAGUCAAUUAAUCUAGACGUAUAUAGAAAGACUGAGAAUCAGCCAAACCUCCUGUAUGUCCAGAAGCAUGUUUGAUCAGUUGCAAAAUCCUAGCAUUGUUUCUUAGUUCCAGUGUGACUGUAGCUGAUAAUAAAUUAGGAUUUUUUUGAGAUUAUAGAAUAGAAUCAUAGAAUAUCUUUCAGGAAUAUAACUCCUAAUUACUUUAUGCUACUGCAAUAAAAAGGAGAUAAUUAGAGCAGCAUCCCUUAAACAUAGACAUACAAAGCAUGUCUGUUCCAGAUUAUUGAGAUAUCAGAUAACUCAUCUGGCUAUGCUAAGCCCAGAACUAGGCAGUAUCACUGCACUCAAACUAAUUAGCUGGGAGAUGAGAGACAGCUUUGUUUUGGUUGCUUUGUGAUGUAUAGUAUACUAUAGCAUCAGCUAAUGUCUUAUCAGCUUGCUUCUGGGGCAUGUUUCUCUCAUUCACUCAUUUCAUGCUAUUACAUUAAGUUUAAUUUGAAAUCGGGAGCCCUAAAAUGUCUUUACCUGCCACUCCCAUAAUUUCUGCCUGCUAUCACCAGUGACUGCCAGAGCUGCAUUGUUGUAUCCUGAUAUAGUUUGAUUUCCCUUCAAGGUUGCUUUUUUCUGAAUUUUCUGCUUUCAUAUACUAGGAUUGAGGAUUAAUUUCAAGAUCUCUUUAGUGUAUUUUGCCCUAAAUUACUGCUGAGUGCUCUUACCUGCAUUGUAAUUUAGGGUUUGGAAAUUACAGAGCCCUGCGGUGCUGUGGUUGUACAAGAUUCUUUGUUCAUAGGCAUCCAGCAGUGCUUAACACCUACACAUUAAAAGCAAAGAACAAAAUGGAACACUCAAGCUCUGUGCUUAUAGUGUGUCUAAGUUAAUUCCAAAGCAACCAUGAAGCCUUUCUCACACAUUCUAUAAAUACUUAUAGAAGAAAUAGAGUUGAAAUCAGUAGAAAUUAGAGUAAUUGAAGCAGUGAAGUUUGCAGCCAUGGCAGUGAGAUUUAAUUUUGAAUUUAUUCAGGUUUUGGAGAUGGCUCUGCUUUGAGUCAGGAGUUGGAUGAGAUGAAGUCCCUUCUGAGCAAUUUUUUCCAGGCUUCUGAUACUGAGGGAUUCUAAGAAAUUAUACCAUUCUCUCUAGUAAGGGGAGAAGGAGAUUGCUGUAGUUCAGGCAGAAUUUGUGGAACCCAAUGCUACAGUUUUCAUUCCCAUGAUAUGCCAUGGAAUGUGAGGGUGCUUAGCUAGUAGAAUAGUAAAGCUAAAUGCAGUGAAUAUGAUUUCAAGGAAAUCAAUGUUGUAUAGAAUUAAUUCACGCUACAAAACACUAUUUUAUGCAAUAACAGUUUGGGCAAAAUUCUGUCCUGCAUUAAGCAAGAGAAAACAAACUCACUCCAUCUACACCCCAAAAGUCAGAUCCAGACUAUUGCCUAAGACAGGAGAUCCUGUCCCACUGUGGAAUAAAAAUAACUAUUAACAUGUCUCACAGAAGAAAAAUGCUCAGUUUGAUUUCUUCUGCAGUUGAGCCUCAAAGUUUACCAAGACAGUUUGAAUAUUUUGCAAAGGCAUUUGAUUUUUAGAUGUCUGACUGCUUCAGCUUUUAAUUGUAAAGCCAAGUUAUCUAGACAAUGCAUUCAAGUCUGAUUCUGCUAGACAGUCCUGCCAAGAAUAAAGAGCAAUUUACAGCCCAAAAGUCAGAUAGCAGCUUCUCUCCUUCGGAAAGUGGGAUGUGUUUUUCUUCUUAGGAGGAUCCUCGUUAGGAGGAGGGAUCUGCUUUCUAAUCCAUGUCUUGUUGCUCUUCUACAUCUCUCUUGUGAAGAAUUUAUUGUAUAAAGUAGAGCAGUAAGUGAUCAUUGAAGAUUCACUCAGAGGGUAUGUUGCAGCCUGCUGUCAAGGGCACUCCCACAGACCAUGGGAAAAAAAUUACACUAAGGAUACUGAUUGGGUGAAUGAGAACUGAAAUCAGGUCAGGCAACUCUUUAGAUUUCUCCAAGAUAAGUUUCCAGCUCAGAAUGUGGAGUACUGCAGUGUUCAUGAGUACUGCAUUUAGACUGAUUAUUCUUAGGAUGGGGUUUCUGUGUUUCUGCCUGGGCAGAAAUGUAUGUCUGUUGAUUUAGUACUUGAGAGUCUGACACAUUUAGGCUGCAGUAAACCACCUUUACAAUAAAACGACAACAUCAAACUGUACAUAUAUCCUGCUCUUUUAAGCCAAAGAUUUUUUAUUUUUAUUUUUUUUUAACGAGAAGAAUAUCUCUAUGUUCUGUUCUGCAAAGAUCUACAUAGAAGGUGAGCCCCUGUGUCUCCACUGAAAUAGUGGGAAUAUUUGAAACAAUUUUUCCAGCUCAGCUGGUCAGAGGAGAGUUCAUCAGAGUGGGUAAUGGACAAGAGUUUAUUAAACAUCUUUAAAGCUCAAAAGACAAAGGUGAAGGUCCAAGAAUUAGGGAAACUUUAACUCUGUGUUGACCAGGCAUCAAAGUAUUUUCAAUGAAUCAGAAUAUCCAAAAUUGAAAGGGACUCAUGGGGAUUGUUGAGUCCAACAAUCAGACUGCACACAGGACCACCCAAAAUCCAUACUCUAUGCCUGAAAGCACUUCUUGAACUCCGGCAGUGUAGUGUUGUGACCACUUCCCUGGGUAGCCUGUUGCAAUGCCUAACCACUCAUUCUGUGAAGAACUUUUUCUAAUGCACAUCCUGAACUUCCCCUGGUGCAGCUUCACGCAUUCCGUUGGGCUGUACUGCUGGUUACAGGAGGGAGCAGAUCAG